RNAcentral lists this ribosomal RNA (274 nucleotides) under uncultured bacterium. Its description in RNAcentral is "partial 16S ribosomal RNA". It matches the Rfam family "Bacterial small subunit ribosomal RNA", at positions 523 to 796 of the family's 1533-position model. The record is from RNAcentral.
AUACGGAGGGUGCAAGCGUUAUCCGGAAUCACUGGGUUUAAAGGGUGCGUAGGCGGCCUGGUAAGUCAGAGGUGAAAUACACGCGCUUAACUGGUGAAUUGCCUUUGAAACUAUCAAGCUAGAAUUAUGUUGAGGUCAGCGGAAUGAGUCAUGUAGCGGUGAAAUGCAUAGAUAUGACUUAGAACACCAAUUGCGUAGGCAGCUGGUUAGGCAUUAAUUGACGCUGAGGCACGAAAGCGUGGGGAGCGAACAGGAUUAGAAACCCUAGUAGUCC